AGAAGAUUGGAAGUUAGCGAAUGUUGUGCCAAUUUACAAGAAAGGUAAUAGGGAGGAGUCGGGCAACUAUAGGCCAGUAAGCCUUACUUUAGUAGUGGGGAAAGUGAUGGAAACCAUGUUAAAGGAUAGGAUUGAUGAACAUCUAAAAACACAUGGAUUUCAAGAUCAGAGACAACAUGGGUUUACUUCAGGGAGAUCAUGCCAAACUAAUCUUAUUGAUU
Molecule: non-coding RNA, 221 nt
Organism: Pelobates cultripes (western spadefoot toad)
Lineage: Eukaryota; Metazoa; Chordata; Amphibia; Anura; Pelobatidae
Source: the annotation of a GenBank genome assembly